GACAGAGGGGGCAAGCGUUGCUCGGAAUCACUGGGCGUAAAGGGCGCGUAGGCGGGAUGGCAAGUCAGUCGUGAAAUCUCUCGGCUCAACCGAGAAACGUCGGCUGAUACUGCCGUUCUUGAGGGAUGCAGAGGAGACUGGAAUUCCCGGUGUAGCGGUGAAAUGUGUAGAGAUCGGGAGGAACACCGGUGGCGAAGGCGGAUCUCUGGGCCUUACCUGACGCUCAGGCGCGAAAGCUAGGGGAGCGAACAGG
Molecule: ribosomal RNA, 253 nt
Filed under: uncultured bacterium
Lineage: Bacteria
Description: partial 16S ribosomal RNA
Rfam family: Bacterial small subunit ribosomal RNA
Source: RNAcentral